GAUGGGAGCACUAGAUAUCUGUGAAGAAUAUCCUUAUAUACUUAAGAAGCACUAAGGAUAUAUUUUUGAUCUUUGGAGGAGAAAAAAAUUUAGGGUUUGGGGAAACAUAGAUUGAUGGUAGAAGGUCUACAUCAACAUGUGUUAUGGUGGUGCAGCAUAUUGAAAAAAUUUCAAACAACCGAUCAUUAAAAAUUUCACAAUGGAGGUAGAGUUCAUCACCAUUUUUAACGGUGCUAAGGUAGCUUUCUGAUUUAUGUAGUUUAUUAUAUAGUUCCAAGUGAUGACAUGAGAUGACAUAUAACUUUACUGCGACAACAUCGGUGC
Molecule: long non-coding RNA, 324 nt
Filed under: Elaeis guineensis (African oil palm)
Lineage: Eukaryota; Viridiplantae; Streptophyta; Magnoliopsida; Arecales; Arecaceae
Description: long non-coding RNA (EGUI_LNC044905)
Source: RNAcentral